GACGAACGCUGGCGGCGUGCUUAACACAUGCAAGUCGAACGGAAAGGCCCUGCUUUUGUGGGGUGCUCGAGUGGCGAACGGGUGAGUAACACGUGAGUAACCUGCCCUUGACUUUGGGAUAACUUCAGGAAACUGGGGCUACUACCGGAUAGGAGCUCCUGCUGCAUGGUGGGGGUUGGAACGUUUCGGCGGUUGGGGAUGGACUCGCGGCUUAUCAGCUUGUUGGUGGGGUAGUGGCUUACCAAGGCUUUGACGGGUAGCCGGCCUGGGAGGGUGACCGGGCACAAUGGGACUGCGGUACGGCCCAGAGUCCUACGGGGGGCAACGGGGGGGAAUUUUGCACAGUGGGCCGGAGCCUGAUGCAGCGACGCCGGGGUCGGGAUGACGGCCUGCGGGGUGUAAACCGCUUUCGCCUGUGACGAAGCGUGAGUGACGGUAAUGGGUAAAGAAGCACCGGCUAACUACGUG
RNAcentral lists this ribosomal RNA (468 nucleotides) under uncultured bacterium. Its description in RNAcentral is "partial 16S ribosomal RNA". It matches the Rfam family "Bacterial small subunit ribosomal RNA", at positions 28 to 507 of the family's 1533-position model. The record is from RNAcentral.